UCCGGUUUGUCACCGGCAGUCUGGCGUGAGUCCCCAACUUAAUGCUGGCAACACGCCACGGGGGUUGCGCUCGUUGCGGGACUUAACCCAACAUCUCACGACACGAGCUGACGACAGCCAUGCAGCAUCUGUGGUGCACCCUCGAAGGUCACACGUUUCCGUGCGCUUGCAGCACCAUGUCAAGUCCAGGUAAGGUGGGGAUGACGUAGGAGAGUACGUCC
RNAcentral lists this unclassified non-coding RNA (221 nucleotides) under uncultured Rubrobacterales bacterium. RNAcentral describes it as "contains 16S-23S intergenic spacer region". The record is from RNAcentral. Lineage: Bacteria; Bacillati; Actinomycetota; Rubrobacteria; Rubrobacterales.